GAAAAAUGGAAAGCAUCGGAGUAUUGAUGGCCUGUCCUAUGUCAUCUUACCUAGAACAAGAGCUAGAUAAGCGAUUCAAGCUCUUCCGAUUCUGGAAUGUUCCGCAGAAGAAUGAAUUCCUCAGUCAGCACGCUGAUUCCAUCCGUGCUGUCGUCGGCAACGCAUUCGCCGGCGCUGACGCUGAGCUCAUCAAUUCCCUCCCUAAGCUCGAGAUUGUUUCGAGUUUCAGUGUUGGUUUAGAUAAGAUUGAUUUGAACAAGUGUAAAGAGAAGGGGAUUAGGGUUACUAAUACUCCCGAUGUUUUGACUGAGGACGUGGCUGAUUUGGCUAUAGGGUUGAUGUUGGCCGUCCUCAGGAGGAUUUGCGAAUGCGAUCGACAUGUUAGGAAAGGGCUGUGGAAGAGCGGUGAUUUCAAGUUGACUUCUAAGUUUAGUGGCAAAUCAGUGGGUAUUAUAGGAUUGGGAAGGAUUGGAUUGGCAAUUGCUAAGAGAGCGGAGGCUUUUGGCUGUCCAAUUAGUUACUACACGAGAUCAGAAAAGCCAAAUACAAAUUAUAAGUAUUAUCCAAGUGUAGUUGAGUUGGCUUCCAAUUGCCAGAUUCUGGUUGUGGCAUGUGCACUGACUCCUGAGACUCGUCAUAUUGUCAACCGUGAGGUCAUGGAAGCUUUGGGAUCAAAGGGAAUUCUGAUUAACAUUGGCCGUGGUCCUCAUGUUGAUGAAAAAGAGCUUGUAUCUGCUCUUCUUGAAGGCCGAUUAGGGGGUGCUGGCCUUGAUGUGUUUGAGAAUGAGCCU
Molecule: unclassified non-coding RNA, 791 nt
Filed under: Hevea brasiliensis (rubber tree)
Lineage: Eukaryota; Viridiplantae; Streptophyta; Magnoliopsida; Malpighiales; Euphorbiaceae
Source: RNAcentral